AUGUACCACUCCUACACUGUGGUUCUGGGCGCGGCGUCCGCGCCCACCUGAUAGCUUCUGGCUACGUUUUGUUAGCC
Molecule: small RNA, 77 nt
Filed under: Xanthomonas oryzae
Lineage: Bacteria; Pseudomonadati; Pseudomonadota; Gammaproteobacteria; Lysobacterales; Lysobacteraceae
Description: sX9 sRNA
Rfam family: Xanthomonas sRNA sX9
Source: RNAcentral